AAAAGCUCGUAGUUGGAUUUCUGUUGAAGGCAGCCGGUCCGCACUUGGUGCGUGUAUCUGGUUUGACUUCGGCAUCCUCUCAAAACACGUUUCUGCGCUUGAUUGCGUGGAGCGGGGUUUGAGACUUUUACUUUGAGGAAAUUAGAGUGUUCACGGCAGGCAAUCGCCUUGAAUAUAUUAGCAUGGAAUAAUAAUAUAGGAUCUUGGUUCUAUUUUGUUGGUUACUAGAGCUAAGAUAAUGAUUAAUAGGGACAAUUGGGGGCAUUCGUAUUAACGCGUCAGAGGUGGAAUUCUUGGAUUGCGUUACGACGAACUACUGCGAAAGCAUUUGCCAAGGAUGUUUUCAUUGAUCAAGAACGAAAGUAAGGGGAUCGAAGACGAUUAGAUACCGUCGUAGUCUUUACCAUAAACUAUGCCAACUAGAGAUGGGGUGUCGUUCUUUUCUGACUCACUCCGCACCUUAUGAGAAAUCAAAGUCUUUGGGUUCCGGGGGGAGUAUGGUCGCAAGGCUGAAACUUAAAGGAAUUGACGGAAGGGCACCACCAGGAGUGGAGCCUGCGGCUUAAUUUGACUCAACACGGGAAAACUCACCAGGUCCAGACAUAGUAAGGAU
RNAcentral lists this ribosomal RNA (613 nucleotides) under uncultured marine eukaryote. RNAcentral describes it as "SSU rRNA". It matches the Rfam family "Eukaryotic small subunit ribosomal RNA", at positions 622 to 1240 of the family's 1831-position model. The record is from RNAcentral.